GAGAUUGAAAAAGAGGCACUUAUGAUGGAAGGAAAUGUGAAUGACAUAUGAAGAUGCUUUUAGAAGAGGGAAUCUAUUGGGAAAUCCAAUAAAAGGAAGAGAAAAAGGUUAGGUAUACGAUGAAAUUGGGAAAUGAUGGGCACUAUCACUUAUGUAAGAGUCGGUGAUAUAUAUUUUGCCCCACAAUAACCCAUCAAAGAACCC
This 204-nucleotide long non-coding RNA is filed under the name Vigna radiata. RNAcentral's name for it is "long non-coding RNA (VRAD_LNC006211)". Lineage: Eukaryota; Viridiplantae; Streptophyta; Magnoliopsida; Fabales; Fabaceae. The record is from RNAcentral.